Molecule: ribosomal RNA, 556 nt
Filed under: uncultured Bacteroidota bacterium
Lineage: Bacteria; Pseudomonadati; Bacteroidota
Description: bacterial SSU rRNA
Rfam family: Bacterial small subunit ribosomal RNA
Source: RNAcentral
AGCUUGCUCUUGAUGACGAGUGGCGCACGGGUGAGUAACGCGUAUGCAAUCUACCUAUAACUGAGGAAUAGCCCAGAGAAAUUUGGAUUAAUACUUCAUAAUAUUAUUAUUUGGCAUCAUUUAAUAAUUAAAACUCCGGUGGUUAUAGAUGAGCAUGCGUUCUAUUAGCUAGUUGGUGAGGUAAGAGCUCACCAAGGCUACGAUAGAUAGGGGGCCUGAAAGGGUGAUCCCCCACACUGGUACUGAGACACGGACCAGACUCCUACGGGAGGCAGCAGUGAGGAAUAUUGCACAAUGGAGGAAACUCUGAUGCAGCCAUGCCGCGUGCAGGAUGAAGGCCCUAUGGGUUGUAAACUGCUUUUUUACAAGAAGAAACCUUGGUACGUGUACCAACUUGACGGUAUUGUAAGAAUAAGCACCGGCUAACUCCGUGCCAGCAGCCGCGGUAAUACGGAGGGUGCAAGCGUUAUCCGGAUUUAUUAGGUUUAAAGGGUUCGCAGGCGGAAUUUUAAGUCAGUGGUGAAAGCCUACAGCUCAACUGUAGAACUGCCAUUGA